AGUGAACGCUGGCGGCAGGCCUAACACAUGCAAGUCGAGCGGCAGCGGGUCCUUCGGGAUGCCGGCGAGCGGCGGACGGGUGAGGAAUACAUCGGAAUCUGCCCUGUCGUGGGGGAUAACCUAGGGAAACUUAGGCUAAUACCGCAUACGACCUACGGGUGAAAGCGGGGGAUCGCAAGACCUCGCGCGACAGGAUGAGCCGAUGUCCGAUUAGCUAGUUGGCGGGGUAAAGGCCCACCAAGGCGACGAUCGGUAGCUGGUCUGAGAGGAUGAUCAGCCACCCUGGGACUGAGACACGGCCCAGACUCCUACGGGAGGCAGCAGUGGGGAAUAUUGGACAAUGGGCGCAAGCCUGAUCCAGCCAUGCCGCGUGGGUGAAGAAGGCCUUCGGGUUGUAAAGCCCUUUUGUCCGGGAAGAAAUCGUCUGGGCUAAUACCCCGGGCGGAUGACGGUACCGGAAGAAUAAGCACCGGCUAACUUCGUG
This 484-nucleotide ribosomal RNA is filed under the name uncultured bacterium. Its description in RNAcentral is "partial 16S ribosomal RNA". It matches the Rfam family "Bacterial small subunit ribosomal RNA", at positions 30 to 507 of the family's 1533-position model. The record is from RNAcentral.